RNAcentral lists this ribosomal RNA (442 nucleotides) under uncultured bacterium. RNAcentral's name for it is "partial 16S ribosomal RNA". It matches the Rfam family "Bacterial small subunit ribosomal RNA", at positions 338 to 795 of the family's 1533-position model. The record is from RNAcentral.
CCUACGGGAGGCAGCAGUGGGGAAUAUUGGGCAAUGGGCGCAAGCCUGACCCAGCAAUGCCGCGUGAAGGAAGAAGGCUUUCGGGUUGUAAACUUCUUUGACAGGGGAAGAGCAGAAGACGGUACCCUGAAAACAAGCCACGGCUAACUACGUGCCUGCAGCCGCGGUAAUACGUAGGGGGCGAGCGUUGUCCGGAAUCACUGGGCGUAAAGGGCGCGUAGGCGGUAAUAUAAGUCAGAUGUGAAAGGUGGGGGCUCAACCCCUAGAGUGCAACUGAUACUGUAUAACUUGAGUGUGAGAGAGGGAAGCGGAAUUCCUAGUGUAGCGGUGAAAUGCGUAGAUAUUAGGAGGAACACCAGUGGCGAAGGCGGCUUUCUGGCUCAUAACUGACGCUGAGGCGCGAAAGCGUGGGGAGCAAACAGGAUUAGAUACCCCUGUAGUC